Molecule: ribosomal RNA, 917 nt
Filed under: Clitopilus sp.
Lineage: Eukaryota; Fungi; Basidiomycota; Agaricomycetes; Agaricales; Entolomataceae
Description: partial large subunit ribosomal RNA
Rfam family: Eukaryotic large subunit ribosomal RNA
Source: RNAcentral
AAACAACGRRRARRAMCUAMCARGGAUUCCCCUAGUAACUGCGAGUGAAGCGGGAAAAGCUCAAAUUUAAAAUCUGGUAGUCUCUGGCUGCCCGAGUUGUAAUCUAGAGAAGUGUUAUCCGCGCUGGACCGUGUACAAGUCUCCUGGAAUGGAGCGUCAUAGAGGGUGAGAAUCCCGUCUUUGACACGGACUACCAGGGCUUUGUGAUGCGCUCUCAAAGAGUCGAGUUGUUUGGGAAUGCAGCUCUAAAUGGGUGGUAAAUUCCAUCUAAAGCUAAAUAUUGGCGAGAGACCGAUAGCGAACAAGUACCGUGAGGGAAAGAUGAAAAGAACUUUGGAAAGAGAGUUAAAUAGUACGUGAAAUUGUUGAAAGGGAAACGCUUGAAGUCAGUCGCGUUGGCUAGGAAUCAGCCUUGCUUUUGCUUGGUGUACUUCCUUGUUGACGGGUCAGCAUCAAUUUUGACCGGUGGAAAAAGACUAGUGGAAUGUGGCAUCUUCGGAUGUGUUAUAGCUGCUAGUUGUAUACAUCGGUUGGGAUUGAGGAACUCAGCACGCCGAAAGGUCGGGGUUUUGCCCACGUUCGUGCUUAGGAUGCUGGCAUAAUGGCUUUAAUCGACCCGUCUUGAAACACGGACCAAGGAGUCUAACAUGCCUGCGAGUGUUUGGGUGGAAAACCCGAGCGCGUAAUGAAAGUGAAAGUUGAGAUCCCUGUCGUGGGGAGCAUCGACGCCCGGACCAGACCUUUUGUGACGGAUCCGCGGUAGAGCAUGUAUGUUGGGACCCGAAAGAUGGUGAACUAUGCCUGAAUAGGGUGAAGCCAGAGGAAACUCUGGUGGAGGCUCGUAGCGAUUCUGACGUGCAAAUCGAUCGYCAAAUUUGGGUAUAGGGGCGAAAGACUAAUCGAACCAUCUAUUGCCC